Molecule: ribosomal RNA, 447 nt
Filed under: uncultured bacterium
Lineage: Bacteria
Description: bacterial SSU rRNA
Rfam family: Bacterial small subunit ribosomal RNA
Source: RNAcentral
UGGGGAAUAUUGGACAAUGGGGGCAACCCUGAUCCAGCAAUGCCGCGUGUGUGAAGAAGGCCUGCGGGUUGUAAAGUCCUUUCGACGGAGACGAUAAUGACGGUAUCCGUAGAAGAAGCCCCGGCUAAUUUCGUGCCAGCAGCCGCGGUAAUACGAAAGGGGCUAGCGUUGUUCGGAAUUACUGGGCGUAAAGCGCACGUAGGCGGUCGUGUAAGAUGGGGGUGAAAUCCCGGAGCUCAACUCCGGAACUGCCUUCAUGACUGCAUGGCUAGAGGAUGCGAGAGGUUGGCGGAAUUCCGAGUGUAGAGGUGAAAUUCGUAGAUAUUCGGAAGAACACCAGUGGCGAAGGCGGCCAACUGGCGCAUUUCUGACGCUGAGGUGCGAAAGCGUGGGGAGCAAACAGGAUUAGAUACCCUAGUAGUCCCUGAGCGGGCUGGCAAGGCGCAU